Molecule: non-coding RNA, 111 nt
Filed under: uncultured Eubacterium sp.
Lineage: Bacteria; Bacillati; Bacillota; Clostridia; Eubacteriales; Eubacteriaceae
Description: FMN riboswitch (RFN element)
Rfam family: FMN riboswitch aptamer (RFN element)
About the family: The RFN element is a highly conserved domain that is found frequently in the 5'-untranslated regions of prokaryotic mRNAs that encode for flavin mononucleotide (FMN) biosynthesis and transport proteins. This element is a metabolite-dependent riboswitch that directly binds FMN in the absence of proteins.
Source: RNAcentral
AUUUCGGGGCGAGGUGUAAUUCCUCACCGGCGGUUAUAGUCCGCGACCCAUAGCAAUAUGGCUGAAUCGGUGAAAUUCCGAUACCGACGGUUACAGUCCGGACGAGAGAAA